RNAcentral lists this ribosomal RNA (255 nucleotides) under uncultured bacterium. RNAcentral describes it as "partial 16S ribosomal RNA". It matches the Rfam family "Bacterial small subunit ribosomal RNA", at positions 57 to 305 of the family's 1533-position model. The record is from RNAcentral.
GCAAGUCGAACGGUAACAGGGAGAAGCUUGCUUUUCCGCUGACGAGUGGCGCACGGGUGCGUAACGCGUAUACAAUCUACCUUUUACAGGGGGAUAGCCUUUAGAAAUGAAGAUUAAUACCCCAUGGCAAGUGAACAUGGCAUCAUGUACACUUUAAAGUUUCGGUGGUAAAAGAUGAGUAUGCGUUCUAUUAGCUAGAUGGUGUGGUAACGGCACACCAUGGCAACGAUAGAUAGGGGCCCUGAGAGGGGGAUC